CGAGCCCUGCAAUCUGGUCCAGCGUCCAUGCAGGGGCUUGAUCCAGUAGAGCUUCCUGCAUAUGUCAAUACGGAUUUGAGUAUCCAGAGAGUCAGCUGCGUUCCAGUUGCUUCAAUCACUUGCAAAUCUGCUGCAGCUUGAAAGCAAGGAGAGGAGUACCGCAGGUUACCACUCUUAAUCCUUUGCGUCUGCGCAUUCUCACGUAAGUGUGGCUGUACUGAGGUGGACACCUCGUGAACGCGAGACACCUUCUCCUCGACUCAGGAGCUUGCAAGCAGCUGUGUUGCUGGAAAGAGAAGCUUGCCAUCUGUAUACUGUGAUGGCGAAGAAAAUACUACAGAUCGACGAACUUCGGUAUUUUUUGCUCAAAAUUAUAUCUCAAGCUUUCUGCGCUGUUGAUUUGCAGGAAUACAUUUCGAUGAGGCACACUUUGGUUCGAAGGCAGCGAUCAAUGUGAUGCGUCUCACUGACCUCAUCUAGACAACCUUUGCAACAAAUUCUCAAAGAUUUUGAUCGUUUCACACCUCAAAGUUCGCUU
This 538-nucleotide long non-coding RNA is filed under the name Coccomyxa subellipsoidea. RNAcentral's name for it is "long non-coding RNA (CSUB_LNC000216)". Lineage: Eukaryota; Viridiplantae; Chlorophyta; Trebouxiophyceae; Coccomyxaceae. The record is from RNAcentral.